GAGUUACUCUUGAUCUUCACUAUUCAUUUUAUUGAAAUCUAAUGAUUAAUCAUUAUAUUUCAAGAAAAUGAAUGGUGAAGAUGAAGAGUUACU
Molecule: microRNA precursor, 93 nt
Filed under: Glycine max (soybean)
Lineage: Eukaryota; Viridiplantae; Streptophyta; Magnoliopsida; Fabales; Fabaceae
Description: miR5380c stem-loop (gma-MIR5380c)
Source: miRBase by way of RNAcentral